RNAcentral lists this ribosomal RNA (467 nucleotides) under uncultured bacterium. RNAcentral's name for it is "partial 16S ribosomal RNA". It matches the Rfam family "Bacterial small subunit ribosomal RNA", at positions 28 to 506 of the family's 1533-position model. The record is from RNAcentral.
GACGAACGCUGGCGGCGUGCUUAACACAUGCAAGUCGAACGGAAAGGCCCUGCUUUUGUGGGGUGCUCGAGUGGCGAACGGGUGAGUAACACGUGAGUAACCUGCCCUUGACUUUGGGAUAACUUCAGGAAACUGGGGCUAAUACCGGAUAGGAGCUCCUGCUGCAUGGUGGGGGUUGGAAAGUUUCGGCGGUUGGGGAUGGACUCGCGGCUUAUCAGCUUGUUGGUGGGGUAGUGGCUUACCAAGGCUUUGACGGGUAGCCGGCCUGAGAGGGUGACCGGCCACAUUGGGACUGAGAUACGGCCCAGACUCCUACGGGAGGCAGCAGUGGGAAAUAUUGCACAAUGGGCGGAAGCCUGGUGCAGCAACGCCGCGUGCGGGAUGACGGCCUUCGGGUUGUAAACCGCUUUCGCCUGUGACGAAGCGUGGGUGACGGUAAUGGGUAAAGAAGCACCGGCUAACUACGU